This 679-nucleotide long non-coding RNA is filed under the name Homo sapiens (human). RNAcentral describes it as "HSALNT0287087". Lineage: Eukaryota; Metazoa; Chordata; Mammalia; Primates; Hominidae. The record is from RNAcentral.
AGGUUGACAAGUGAAGUUUUAUGAAUAUGAUUUCUAUAUCAUCUCUUAAGGUUGCUGCAGUAAAUAUCCAUAAGCUGCUACUAAUCAAAGCAUUAAUAAAAUCAUCAUAAUGUUAAGGACAUUGCUACAUAUCUCUUUCCCUGGUGAUGCACUCCUGGACUGAAAUACUUGGAUUAUCUGCCGUAAAGAGCAUCGUUUGAUUCAAAUCAAGAUACAGAGUCAUGAUCGAGUGACUCUACCUGAGGUCAAACGGCCUAUGGCUUUAAAUCCCAGAUCACCCUUUGUUCUUUUAUUGGAUGAGGAUGACUUCAGAAGAUGGGCAAUAGAGGAACAAACUUAAAAUUUUCGCCCAAGUUACUCAUCAUGGAUGUAAAACCUGUUCCUGGGUGUAAAUUCCCAGGCCACAGGAAUACAUGUUACAUAUGCUGGUAUGACAUGGCUUUCAGUUUUUGUUACACAAACACAAGCAAAAGACUAAAUGACAUUUUUGUUGUUGUUGUUUUUGAGACAGAGUCUCGCUCUGUCACCAGGAUGGAGUGUAGUGGCGAGAUCUCCACUCACUGCAACCUCCACCUCCCGGGUUCAAGCGAUUCUCCUGCCUCAGCCUCCUGAGUAGCUGGGACUACAGGCACAUGUCACCACUCCCAUCUAAUUUUUGUAUUUUUAGUAGAGACAGGGU